CCCUUAGAUGUUCUGGGCUGCACGCGCGCUACACUGAUGCAUUCAACGAGCUUUCGAUCUUGCCCGAGAGGGUUGGAUAAUCUUUUUAAAGUGCAUCGUGAUGGGGAUAGAUUAUUGCAAUUAUUAAUCUUCAACGAGGAAUUCCCAGUAAGCGCGAGUCAUAAGCUCGCGUUGAUUACGUCCCUGCCCUUUGUACACACCGCCCGUCGCUACUACCGAUUGAACGGUUUAGUGAGGGCCUCGGAUUGGUCUCGGCCCGCUCUUUACCGGGCGGCGCCGUUGGUCGAGAAGACGCUCGAACUUGAUCGUUUAGAGGAAGUAAAAGUCGUAACA
This 333-nucleotide ribosomal RNA is filed under the name uncultured eukaryote. RNAcentral describes it as "partial 18S ribosomal RNA". It matches the Rfam family "Eukaryotic small subunit ribosomal RNA", at positions 1470 to 1796 of the family's 1831-position model. The record is from RNAcentral.